This is a long non-coding RNA of Phyllostomus hastatus (greater spear-nosed bat), 1076 nucleotides long. RefSeq lists it as uncharacterized. The transcript has 2 exons. NCBI's taxonomy places the organism in Eukaryota, Metazoa, Chordata, Mammalia, Chiroptera, Phyllostomidae. The record is from RefSeq and is a predicted model, not a curated record.
CGCGGCGAGUCCGGCGCGGAAUCGAGCUCCCCAUACCUGUCAGGGCCCAGCCAAGCUCUGAGAGGGCGCCUGCGCACUAACCGCCCCGCCGCCUUUUCCCGCCUAUCAAGAGGACUUGGACCCGGCAGAACACUAGCGCAAUGCCCCUAACGAACGUCGCUGGCCAGGUGGAACAAAUGUUGUGUGAGGCGGAAGCGGCGGGCGCGGCGGGCGCGGCGGGCGCUGGGUUUUGACGCCGGUGCUUUCUGCGGGAUCCCUGUGGUGGGAGAGGGAGCCAUCCACUGCACCGCGAGGGAAGGCUUCCUUUAGAGGGCCUUGUGCUGCACUUGGAGUCGCUGCUCAGCCUCUUCUUCAGGCUUACACCGCCCCCUGCGCUGACUGCCGUGCUCCCCCUCGCUCAGGGCCCUUCAGCCACGCGCGUCCUUCCCUCCCGGAAGCACAUCGGGCUCCUUCCAGCCUCAGCACCGUCGCAUUUGUUGAUCCCUCUUCCUGGGACUGUGUCCUGUGUCUCACCCAGGUUGGAGCCCCGCCCUCACUCCUCCUCGGAUUCGCCUAAAGGAGAAGGGCCUCCAGCCUGUGGGCCACGUCUGCCUGUGAGCCAAGAAGGAUUUUACAUUUCUGACAGUUGGAAAAAAAUCAAAAGAGGACUAUCUCAGGGCAUGUGGCAAUUGUAUGAAACUGAAAUUGCAGUGUCCAUAAAUAGAGUUUUAUUGGAAAACAGCCACACUCGCUCAUUUAUGUUGUGUCUAUGGCUGCCUCCCAGCUGCAACACAGAACUGAGUCUUUUCAACAGACACUGUGUGGCUAACAGAACUUAAAAUGCUUGCGAUUUAGGUCUUUAUAGAGGCCUGCCAACCUGUAAUGUAGGACUUGUGUACCUACCUUGUCGUCCUGCGUGUGUCUGUACAACCAGUGGUGUGUGUAGAUAUUUAACAAGCGCUUCUCUGGGGGAAACAUGCGUGUCAGUGUGUGGUGUGUGUGUGUGUCUAUAUAUGUAUAAUUUAUUGUAAACUUUACUGAUGUUUUCCUGUUACUUUCUGAAAUCUUGAAGACAAUUAAUAAAACAAUUAAUUGAA